AGUGAACGCUGGCGGCGGGCUUAACACAUGCAAGUCGAACGAGAACGGAUUAUAGCUUGCUAUAAUUGUCAGCUAAGUGGCGCACGGGUGAGUAAUGUAUAGGUAAUAUGCCUCUUACUAAGGGAUAACAAAUGGAAACGUUUGCUAAUACCUUAUACUCCUUAUUAACAGAAGUUAAUAAGGGAAAGAUUUAUUGGUAAGAGAUUAGCCUGUAUUGUAUCAGUUAGUUGGUGGGGUAAUGGCCUACCAAGACUAUGACACAUAACUGGUUUGAGAGGAUGAUCAGUCACUGGAACUGAGACACGGUCCAGACUCCUACGGGAGGCAGCAGUGGGGAAUAUUGCACAAUGGACGAAAGUCUGAUGCAGCAACGCCGCGUGGAGGAUGACACAUUUCGGUGCGUAAACUCCUUUUAUAUGAGAAGAUAAUGACGGUAUUAUAUGAAUAAGCACCGGCUAACUCCGUGCCAGCCGCCGCCGUAA
This 482-nucleotide ribosomal RNA is filed under the name uncultured bacterium. RNAcentral's name for it is "partial 16S ribosomal RNA". It matches the Rfam family "Bacterial small subunit ribosomal RNA", at positions 29 to 523 of the family's 1533-position model. The record is from RNAcentral.